Non-coding RNA from Pelobates cultripes (western spadefoot toad), 461 nucleotides. The record is from the annotation of a GenBank genome assembly. NCBI's taxonomy places the organism in Eukaryota, Metazoa, Chordata, Amphibia, Anura, Pelobatidae.
GCUCUGACAGUGAGACUGCCUGCUGCCUAUCUGCCACAUUAACCCGAUCACAGUCUCCAUUGAGGCAAUCUUGGGUUAAUUAUAGUAAAGGACAGAAAUUUUCCGCCUUGCGUCCUUAAGGGGAAGACUACAAUGACAAAAAAUUCCUGUCUUGCGUCGCGAAGGGAUUAACAAGCAUUUGGUCAUUCUAAAGCACAUACAUAGAUUUCAGUUCACCUACCCUUUGCCGGCACAUGGCAUUCCUGACAUCGGGUGUGCCCAUAAAUGGGGUGUGUUAUUUUGUUGUGCAUGCUAAAUGAUAAAGGGCUACCAAGGACUAGGGAUCGACCAAUUAUCGGUUUUACCGAUAUUAUCGGCCGAUAUUCGGUAUUUUUGGCAAUAUCGGUAUCGGCCAAUAAAGAUACCGAUAUUGCCGAUAAUACAUACCAGGACCACCGGGCCCAUUAGAAGCCUGGCAGUCC